RNAcentral lists this ribosomal RNA (404 nucleotides) under uncultured Bicosoecida. Its description in RNAcentral is "partial small subunit ribosomal RNA". It matches the Rfam family "Eukaryotic small subunit ribosomal RNA", at positions 30 to 432 of the family's 1831-position model. Lineage: Eukaryota; Bigyra; Bicosoecida. The record is from RNAcentral.
GCUUGUCUCAAAGAUUAAGCCAUGCAUGUCUAAGUAUAAGUAUUAUACAGCGAAACUGCGAAUGGCUCAUUAAAACAGUUAUAGUUUACAUGAUAAUCGAAUUUACAUGGAUAACCGUAGUAACUCUAGAGCUAAUACAUGCGCAAAUUCCCGACUGUCGCAAGGCGGAAAGGAUGUAUUUAUUAGAUCCAACCAGCCCGGUUCGCCGGAGUCCCUGGUGAGUCAUAAUAACUGAGCGAAUCGCAUGGCCUUGUGCCGGCGAUGGUUCAUUCAAGUUUCUGCCCUAUCAGCUUUCGAUGGUAGGGUAUUGGCCUACCAUGGCGUUAACGGGUAACGGAGAAUUAGGGUUCGAUUCCGGAGAGGGAGCCUGAGAAACGGCUACCACAUCCAAGGAAGGCAGCAGG